AGGCUCGUCCGCUCAGGGUUAGUCAGGACCUAAGCCGAGGCCGACAGGCGUAGGCGAUGGACAACAGGUUGAUAUUCCUGUACCACCUCUUUAUCGUUUGAGCAAUGGAGGGACGCAGAAGGAUAGAAGAAGCGUGCGAUUGGUUGUGCACGUCCAAGCAGUUAGGCUGAUAAGUAGGCAAAUCCGCUUAUCGUGAAGGCUGAGCUGUGAUGGGGAAGCUCCUUAUGGAGCGAAGUCUUUGAUUCCCCGCUGCCAAGAAAAGCUUCUAGCGAGAUAAAAGGUGCCUGUACCGCAAACCGACACAGGUAGGCGAGGAGAGAAUCCUAAGGUGUGCGAGAGAACUCUGGUUAAGGAACUCGGCAAAAUGACCCCGUAACUUCGGGAGAAGGGGUGCUUUCUUAACGGAAAGCCGCAGUGAAUAGGCCCAAGCGACUGUUUAGCAAAAACACAGCUCUCUGCGAAGCCGUAAGGCGAAGUAUAGGGGGUGACACCUGCCCGGUGCUGGAAGGUUAAGGAGAGGGGUUAGCGUAAGCGAAGCUCUGAACUGAAGCCCCAGUAAACGGCGGCCGUAACUAUAACGGUCCUAAGGUAGCGAAAUUCCUUGUCGGGUAAGUUCCGACCCGCACGAAAGGUGUAACGAUUUGGGCACUGUCUCAACCAGAGACUCGGUGAAAUUAUAGUACCUGUGAAGAUGCAUGUUACCCGCGACAGGACGGAAAGACCCCGUGGAGCUUUACUGUAGCCUGAUAUUGAAUUUUGGUACAGUUUGUACAGGAUAGGCGGGAGCCAUUGAAACCGGAGCGCUAGCUUCGGUGGAGGCGCUGGUGGGAUACCGCCCUGACUGUAUUGAAAUUCUAACCUACGGGUCUUAUCGACCCGGGAGACAGUGUCAGGUGGGCAGUUUGACUGGGGCGGUCGCCUCCUAAAGUGUAACGGAGGCGCCCAAAGGUUCCCUCAGAAUGGUUGGAAAUCAUUCGUAGAGUGCAAAGGCAUAAGGGAGCUUGACUGCGAGACCUACAAGUCGAGCAGGGACGAAAGUCGGGCUUAGUGAUCCGGUGGUUCCGCAUGGAAGGGCCAUCGCUCAACGGAUAAAAGCUACCCCGGGGAUAACAGGCUUAUCUCCCCCAAGAGUCCACAUCGACGGGGAGGUUUGGCACCUCGAUGUCGGCUCAUCGCAUCCUGGGGCUGUAGUCGGUCCCAAGGGUUGGGCUGUUCGCCCAUUAAAGCGGUACGCGAGCUGGGUUCAGAACGUCGUGAGACAGUUCGGUCCCUAUCCGUCGUGGGCGUAGGAAAUUUGAGAGGAGCUGUCCUUAGUACGAGAGGACCGGGAUGGACGCACCGCUGGUGUACCAGUUGUUCUGCCAAGGGCAUAGCUGGGUAGCUAUGUGCGGAAGGGAUAAGUGCUGAAAGCAUCUAAGCAUGAAGCCCCCCUCAAGAUGAGAUUUCCCAUAGCGUAAGCUAGUAAGAUCCCUGAAAGAUGAUCAGGUUGAUAGGUUCGAGGUGGAAGCAUGGUGACAUGUGGAGCUGACGAAUACUAAUAGAUCGAGGACUUAACCAU
RNAcentral lists this ribosomal RNA (1558 nucleotides) under Bacillus cereus AH1134. RNAcentral describes it as "bacterial LSU rRNA". It matches the Rfam family "Bacterial large subunit ribosomal RNA", at positions 1362 to 2925 of the family's 2925-position model. Lineage: Bacteria; Bacillati; Bacillota; Bacilli; Caryophanales; Bacillaceae. The record is from RNAcentral.